Molecule: ribosomal RNA, 305 nt
Filed under: uncultured bacterium
Lineage: Bacteria
Description: bacterial SSU rRNA
Rfam family: Bacterial small subunit ribosomal RNA
Source: RNAcentral
UUGACCUACGGGACGCAGCAGUGAGGAAUAUUGGUCAAUGGGAGAGAUCCUGAACCAGCCAAGCCGCGUGAGGGAAGACGGCCCUAUGGAUUGUAAACCUCUUUUGUCGGGGAGCAAAAGACGCCACGCGUGGCGUUCCGAGAGUACCCGAAGAAAAAGCAUCGGCUAACUCCGUGCCAGCAGCCGCGGUAAUACGGAGGAUGCGAGCGUUAUCCGGAUUUAUUGGGUUUAAAGGGUGCGCAGGCGGAAGAUCAAGUCAGCGGUAAAAUUGAGAGGCUCAACCUCUUCGAGCCGUUGAAACUGGU